RNAcentral lists this ribosomal RNA (497 nucleotides) under uncultured bacterium. Its description in RNAcentral is "partial 16S ribosomal RNA". It matches the Rfam family "Bacterial small subunit ribosomal RNA", at positions 28 to 507 of the family's 1533-position model. The record is from RNAcentral.
GAUGAACGCUGGCGGCGUGCCUAAUACAUGCAAGUCGAGCGAACGGACGAGAAGCUUGCUUCUCUUAUGUUAGCGGCGGACGGGUGAGUAACACGUGGAUAACCUACCUAUAAGACUGGGAUAACUUCGGGAAACCGGAGCUAAUACCGGAUAAUAUUUUGAACCGCAUGGUUCAAAAGUGAAAGACGGUCUUGCUGUCACUUAUAGAUGGAUCCGCGCUGCAUUAGCUAGUUGGUAAGGUAACGGCUUACCAAGGCAACGAUGCAUAGCCGACCUGAGAGGGUGAUCGGCCACACUGGAACUGAGACACGGUCCAGACUCCUACGGGAGGCAGCAGUAGGGAAUCUUCCGCAAUGGGAGAAAGCCUGACGGAGCAACGCCGCGUGAGUGAUGAAGGUCUUCGGAUCGUAAAACUCUGUUAUUAGGGAAGAACAUAUGUGUAAGUAACUGUGCACAUCUUGACGGUACCUAAUCAGAAAGCCACGGCUAACUACGUG